UUGAGCACACGGUCCCAACACUCCAUACGGGCAGCGCAGCUAAUAGGCGAAUCUUCGCGCAAUGGACUAAUUUCUGACCGAGCAACGCCGCGAUGAGUGAACAAGGUUUUCAGAUCAUAAAACUCUGUUGUUAGAGAAGAAUAAGGAUGAGAGUAACUGUUCAUCCCUUGACGGUAUCUAACACUGAAAGCCACGGCUAACUACGUGCCAGCAACCUCGGUAAUACAUAGGUGGCAAGUGUUGUCCGGAUUUAUUGUGCGUAAAGCGAGCGCACGCAGUUUCUUAGGUCUGAUGUGAAAGCCCCCAGCUCAACCGGGGAGGGUCAUUGGAAACUGGGAGACUUGAGUGCAGAAGAUUAGAUUGAAAUUCCAUGUGUAGCGCUCAAAUGCUUACAUUUAUAUACGAACACCUGUUGGCGAACGCCGCUCUCUAG
Molecule: ribosomal RNA, 433 nt
Filed under: Enterococcus sp. EDB-LI5
Lineage: Bacteria; Bacillati; Bacillota; Bacilli; Lactobacillales; Enterococcaceae
Description: bacterial SSU rRNA
Rfam family: Bacterial small subunit ribosomal RNA
Source: RNAcentral